AUUUUGACAAUGUGUCCGUCCUAGAUUAUAAAUGUAAUCAACUCAAAAGAAAUAUCAGCGAAAUGAUAUAUAUAAAAUUGAAUAAUACAGUGAACAAUAGGACGGACACACAAAAUUUGAGUUUGGUUUAUAAUAAUAUUUUAGAACUUUAUAAAACCGUGAUUACCUGACGAUAUUUUGUAAUCCGUUUAUCUACGACAGGUUGUCAUAGUUCUUGCGCUGGUCCCAUGUGGAAAUUUAUUUUCAUUCCGAGGUCGUCAUAAUAUGUGAAACAAGGUGUCUUCAAUCUAAGAAUUGUCUGAGCUGAACUCUCGAAUUUCCAAUGCAUCACUGGCUGUUCGUGAAAAAUAUCAAUAUCUUGUGGAAAACAUGAUUAUGGCUCUGCCCUGAAGAAGCAAAUAUAUUUUGCGAAACGUUGGCACUUA
Molecule: long non-coding RNA, 425 nt
Organism: Coccinella septempunctata (seven-spotted ladybird)
Lineage: Eukaryota; Metazoa; Arthropoda; Insecta; Coleoptera; Coccinellidae
Exons: 2
Source: RefSeq, a predicted model, not a curated record